This 622-nucleotide ribosomal RNA is filed under the name uncultured bacterium. Its description in RNAcentral is "bacterial SSU rRNA". The stretch from base 1 to 544 matches the Rfam family "Bacterial small subunit ribosomal RNA", at positions 338 to 873 of the family's 1533-position model. The record is from RNAcentral.
CCUACGGGAGGCAGCAGUAGGGAAUCUUCCACAAUGGGCGAAAGCCUGAUGGAGCAACGCCGCGUGAGUGAUGAAGGCCUUCGGGUUGUAAAACUCUGUCAUUCGGGACGAACCGGAGUCUGAGGAAAUGCAGACUCUCUGACGGUACCGGAGGAGGAAGCCCCGGCUAACUACGUGCCAGCAGCCGCGGUAAUACGUAGGGGGCAAGCGUUGUCCGGAUUCACUGGGCGUAAAGCGCGCGCAGGCGGUGAUGUAAGUCUGAGGUGAAAACCCGAAGCUCAACUUCGGGACUGCCUUGGAUACUGCGUCACUUGAGGAUAGGAGAGGCAAGGGGAAUUCCACGUGUAGCGGUGAAAUGCGUAGAGAUGUGGAGGAACACCUGUGGCGAAGGCGCCUUGCUGGCCUAUUUCUGACGCUGAGGCGCGAAAGCGUGGGGAGCAAACAGGAUUAGAUACCCUGGUAGUCCACGCUGUAAACGAUGAGUGCUAGGUGUAGGUGGGCUCAUACCCAUCUGUGCCGAAGCUAACGCAUUAAGCACUCCGCCUGGGGAGUACGGUCGCAAAGACGAGAACGACGAAGAGUAGAGACGNGNGAGNGCGACGGACGACACGAGGAGGAGGAG